CUCUGCUGGUGUUUUGUGGGUGAGCCCAGGAUAGGAGGUGCUGUGAACCACACUUUGACUGACGCCCAUGACCUCUGUGGAACUCUGGAAGUGUUUCCACCAUGUGUUCCCAGUGUGCCCUGGAAUCAGCUCUGAGUACAGGACAGCUUGCUGAGGUUCUUCAUCCUCUCCCCUUGGACAAAGGUGUAGUAAUAGAGGUAGACUGGCUGGAGCCUGCUAACCCAGUGUGUGGUUUGGUGGAGGGGAGCUGUGGGGCACAUAUUCAAAGGACUUCAGUGGCCUCAGGAUGCUAAUGGGAACUCACCUUCUGGAAAUGCUGCUAAGUAGAUCUCUGUUCUGGCCUGCUUUUAACUGAUUUUGUGUUCUCAGAUAACCUGGUGUUCACUCAGAAUUGUGUUACUGAUCCUGAGAAUAGGCUCUAGCUGUCUUGACAGCCUCUGAAUACAAUAUUAAAAUACCAAGCCUUUAAAUACUAAGGCAAAUGAAAUCUUGGUAGUGUCUUGACCUAUGGUAGGUAGGAAAGGCACUCUGGGAAUUUCCCAACAAUCUGAUGAGAUAAAUGUAGGUCGGUCUUUGUAAAACUGAAAUGAGCAGGAGGAAAAUCAUAUCCUGUCGUAUCAAGGGAUGUGCACCUGGCAGGUUAGUAUGAGCAUAUAGCCUGAAACACCAUACACAUUGGUGAUAUGUCGUCAAAGUGUGACAGAAGCAGUACAGGUCUAAUAGAGCAUGAAGUAUAUUUGAUGCUAUUACUGUUUAUAGAGAGAGAAGAAUGAAAUUUAAGAACAUUACAAAAUAAAGAAGUGUGAGAGAACAGUCAAAUCAAAAUUAUCUCUUCAUUCAGAGCUGGAAUGAUAAAAAAAUAUUUACAAUAUAUCUGGUCAAUAAAACAGGGGAUUAUGUAUUUCUCAAUACAAUAAUUUCAGCUAUAUUAGAUAAACAGCACUCACGUUACAGCUGAUUCACAGAUGCUUGACAAAAGUAAAAUCAUCUGGUCAAUUCAUUUAGGUGAAAAAUCUUAAUAGCAGUAGAAAAUCCAGAGGCAAUUAUGAGGCUGACAAGGAAUGAAAACAUUUCUAGUGUUAAAAAAAAUAUCCAAAGGCAGGUUGUUUUUUGUGUGUAUGUUUAUCCUUAAUUACUCUUUCCCUGGGCAAGCUGAAUGUUGCAAAACCUAGUGUUUGAGAGUAAAAUUGAGUAUUUAUGCACACAAAAAUGACUUCAUUCUUUAUUAUUUUGAAGUUGAGAUAAAAGCAAUGAAUUAACAAAGGGCAAAGUAAAUGGAUAUAUAAAAUGCUUGAGUUCUUACAGAAAUUGGUGAUAUUGAUUACAAAGACAAAGACUCUUUAAAGAGAUAUAAUUUGAAGGUGACAGUUUCUGUGGAAGUAAAAAACAGGUGCGAGAUGAAAACUGCCUAGGAAUCAAUGUUCUAUAACACUAAUGUUAUGAAUUAAAUGGAAUUUUGAGGAUUAAAAUAAAAAUCUGAAGUAAAGGGGAGGUAGGGUUGUUUUCUGUGGAUCUCAAAUCCAUUUUUCUGAUUUUGCUUUUGCAAUGAAAGUACUGCUUUCAAGGAUUUAGCAGAAUAUUAAGAGGUAGCUAGGAUUCCAGAUAGGAAGGAUUUUCUUUUCCAAGAUCUGUUAUAUAUUUCAAGUAAUUCCAGGAAACCUUAUUUGUCGUUUAUGGAUAAUAGUCAAUAAUGUAAUGACUAUGUAAUGUAAUGAUUAA
Lagopus muta (rock ptarmigan) is the source of this 1719-nucleotide long non-coding RNA. RefSeq lists it as uncharacterized. Lineage: Eukaryota; Metazoa; Chordata; Aves; Galliformes; Phasianidae. The record is from RefSeq and is a predicted model, not a curated record. The transcript is spliced from 3 exons.